RNAcentral lists this ribosomal RNA (518 nucleotides) under Sporobolomyces koalae. RNAcentral's name for it is "LSU rRNA". It matches the Rfam family "Eukaryotic large subunit ribosomal RNA", at positions 90 to 621 of the family's 3401-position model. The record is from RNAcentral. Lineage: Eukaryota; Fungi; Basidiomycota; Microbotryomycetes; Sporidiobolales; Sporidiobolaceae.
CGAGCGAAGCGGGAAAAGCUCAAAUUUGUAAUCUGGCGCCUUCGGCGUCCGAGUUGUAAUCUCGAGAAGUGUUUUCCGUGAUAGACUGCAUACAAGUCCCUUGGAACAGGGCGUCAUAGUGGUGAGAACCCAGUACACGAUGCAGAUGCCUAUUACUUUGUGAUACACUUUCGAAGAGUCGAGUUGUUUGGGAAUGCAGCUCAAAUUGGGUGGUAAAUUCCAUCUAAAGCUAAAUAUUGGCGAGAGACCGAUAGCGAACAAGUACCGUGAGGGAAAGAUGAAAAGCACUUUGGAAAGAGAGUUAACAGUACGUGAAAUUGUUGGAAGGGAAACACAUGCAGUGAUACUUGCUAUUCGGGGCAACUCGAUUGGCAGGCCCGCAUCAGUUUUUCGGGGCGGAAAAUCGUAGAGAGAAGGUAGCAGUUUCGGCUGUGUUAUAGCUCUUUGCUGGAUUCGCCCUGGGGGACUGAGGAACGCAGCGUGCUUUUUGCAUGAGCUUCGGCUUAUCCACGCUUAGG